RNAcentral lists this long non-coding RNA (287 nucleotides) under Helianthus annuus (common sunflower). Its description in RNAcentral is "hypothetical non coding rna". Lineage: Eukaryota; Viridiplantae; Streptophyta; Magnoliopsida; Asterales; Asteraceae. The record is from RNAcentral.
CUCUCAGAUCUGGCGCCUCUCUCUUUCUCUCAGAUCUGGAUAUGCAAAAGGAGGUCGAACUGGAUCUGGUCUAGGUUCUCUGCUUCUUGAGAGGCUGUCUGUUGAUUACGGAAAGAAAUCAAAACUCGGUUUCACUGUUUAUCCUUUGCCUCAGGGUUUUUAAAAUUGAUUUACUGUACAGAGGAGAAGAAGACGGAUAAUGAGAAGAUGAAUGCCUUACAAAAACUGAUUCCAGAUUCAUAUAAGGUUAUGUGUAUAGUCAGAAUCUUUUGAUCAUUUCAUAUGUU